CCUACGGGCGGCUGCAGUAGGGAAUAUUGCUCAAUGGGGGAAACCCUGAAGCAGCAAAGCCGCGUGGAGGAUGAAGGCCCUCGGAUUGUUAACCCCUUUUGUUAGAGAAGAUAAUGACGGUAUCUAACGAAUAAGCACCGGCUAACUCCGUGCCAGCAGCCGCGGUAACGCGGAGGGGGCAAGCGUUACUCGGAAUCACUGGGCGUAAAGAGCGCUUAGGCGGGAUAGCAAGGCAGACGGGAAAUCUUAUGGCUUAACCAUAGAACUGCAGUUGAAACUGUGAUUCUAGAGUAUGGGAGAGGUAGGUGGAAUUCUUGGUGUAGGGGUAAAAUGCGUAGAGAUCAAGAGGAAUACUGAGUGCGAAGGCGACCUGCUGGAGCAUAACUGACGCUGAGGCGCGAAAGCGUGGGGAGCGAACAGGAUUAGAUACCCGUGUAGUC
This 440-nucleotide ribosomal RNA is filed under the name uncultured bacterium. RNAcentral describes it as "partial 16S ribosomal RNA". It matches the Rfam family "Bacterial small subunit ribosomal RNA", at positions 338 to 795 of the family's 1533-position model. The record is from RNAcentral.